This 2169-nucleotide ribosomal RNA is filed under the name Pseudomonas aeruginosa. Its description in RNAcentral is "bacterial LSU rRNA". It matches the Rfam family "Bacterial large subunit ribosomal RNA", at positions 3 to 2210 of the family's 2925-position model. The record is from RNAcentral. Lineage: Bacteria; Pseudomonadati; Pseudomonadota; Gammaproteobacteria; Pseudomonadales; Pseudomonadaceae.
UCAAGUGAAGAAGCGCAUACGGUGGAUGCCUUGGCAGUCAGAGGCGAUGAAAGACGUGGUAGCCUGCGAAAAGCUUCGGGGAGUCGGCAAACAGACUUUGAUCCGGAGAUCUCUGAAUGGGGGAACCCACCUAGGAUAACCUAGGUAUCUUGUACUGAAUCCAUAGGUGCAAGAGGCGAACCAGGGGAACUGAAACAUCUAAGUACCCUGAGGAAAAGAAAUCAACCGAGAUUCCCUUAGUAGUGGCGAGCGAACGGGGAUUAGCCCUUAAGCUUCAUUGAUUUUAGCGGAACGCUCUGGAAAGUGCGGCCAUAGUGGGUGAUAGCCCCGUACGCGAAAGGAUCUUUGAAGUGAAAUCGAGUAGGACGGAGCACGAGAAACUUUGUCUGAACAUGGGGGGACCAUCCUCCAAGGCUAAAUACUACUGACUGACCGAUAGUGAACCAGUACCGUGAGGGAAAGGCGAAAAGAACCCCGGAGAGGGGAGUGAAAUAGAACCUGAAACCGUAUGCGUACAAGCAGUGGGAGCCUACUUGUUAGGUGACUGCGUACCUUUUGUAUAAUGGGUCAGCGACUUAUAUUCAGUGGCAAGCUUAACCGUAUAGGGUAGGCGUAGCGAAAGCGAGUCUUAAUAGGGCGUUUAGUCGCUGGGUAUAGACCCGAAACCGGGCGAUCUAUCCAUGAGCAGGUUGAAGGUUAGGUAACACUGACUGGAGGACCGAACCCACUCCCGUUGAAAAGGUAGGGGAUGACUUGUGGAUCGGAGUGAAAGGCUAAUCAAGCUCGGAGAUAGCUGGUUCUCCUCGAAAGCUAUUUAGGUAGCGCCUCAUGUAUCACUCUGGGGGGUAGAGCACUGUUUCGGCUAGGGGGUCAUCCCGACUUACCAAACCGAUGCAAACUCCGAAUACCCAGAAGUGCCGAGCAUGGGAGACACACGGCGGGUGCUAACGUCCGUCGUGAAAAGGGAAACAACCCAGACCGCCAGCUAAGGUCCCAAAGUUGUGGUUAAGUGGUAAACGAUGUGGGAAGGCUUAGACAGCUAGGAGGUUGGCUUAGAAGCAGCCACCCUUUAAAGAAAGCGUAAUAGCUCACUAGUCGAGUCGGCCUGCGCGGAAGAUGUAACGGGGCUCAAACCACACACCGAAGCUGCGGGUGUCACGCAAGUGACGCGGUAGAGGAGCGUUCUGUAAGCCUGUGAAGGUGAGUUGAGAAGCUUGCUGGAGGUAUCAGAAGUGCGAAUGCUGACAUGAGUAACGACAAUGGGUGUGAAAAACACCCACGCCGAAAGACCAAGGGUUCCUGCGCAACGUUAAUCGACGCAGGGUUAGUCGGUUCCUAAGGCGAGGCUGAAAAGCGUAGUCGAUGGGAAACAGGUUAAUAUUCCUGUACUUCUGGUUACUGCGAUGGAGGGACGGAGAAGGCUAGGCCAGCUUGGCGUUGGUUGUCCAAGUUUAAGGUGGUAGGCUGAAAUCUUAGGUAAAUCCGGGGUUUCAAGGCCGAGAGCUGAUGACGAGUCGUCUUUUAGAUGACGAAGUGGUUGAUGCCAUGCUUCCAAGAAAAGCUUCUAAGCUUCAGGUAACCAGGAACCGUACCCCAAACCGACACAGGUGGUCGGGUAGAGAAUACCAAGGCGCUUGAGAGAACUCGGGUGAAGGAACUAGGCAAAAUGGCACCGUAACUUCGGGAGAAGGUGCGCCGGCUAGGGUGAAGGAUUUACUCCGUAAGCUCUGGCUGGUCGAAGAUACCAGGCCGCUGCGACUGUUUAUUAAAAACACAGCACUCUGCAAACACGAAAGUGGACGUAUAGGGUGUGACGCCUGCCCGGUGCCGGAAGGUUAAUUGAUGGGGUUAGCGCAAGCGAAGCUCUUGAUCGAAGCCCCGGUAAACGGCGGCCGUAACUAUAACGGUCCUAAGGUAGCGAAAUUCCUUGUCGGGUAAGUUCCGACCUGCACGAAUGGCGUAACGAUGGCGGCGCUGUCUCCACCCGAGACUCAGUGAAAUUGAAAUCGCUGUGAAGAUGCAGUGUAUCCGCGGCUAGACGGAAAGACCCCGUGAACCUUUACUGUAGCUUUGCACUGGACUUUGAGCCUGCUUGUGUAGGAUAGGUGGGAGGCUUUGAAGCGUGGACGCCAGUUCGCGUGGAGCCAUCCUUGAAAUACCACCCUACCU